CACCUCACCAAAGAAAGAAAGAAUAAGGGAGGUUACAUUAUAUAUCUCCCUCCCCUUCCCUUCUUCCCCUUCCCUUCCCUUCCCUUCCCUUCCCUUCCCUUCUCUUCCCCUCUCAGAAAAACGUAAAAUCAAUUCUCACUCUCCUCUCCCUGAACAAAGAAAGAAAAAAUAAGGGAGGCUACAUUAUAUAUCUCCCUUCCCUUCCCUUCUUCCCCUUCCCCUCCCUUUUCUUUUCCUCUCUUCCCCUCUCAGAAAAACGUAAAAUCAAUUCUCACUCUCCUCUCCCUGAACAAAGAAAGAAAGAAUAAGGGAGGUUACAUUAUAUAUCUCCCUUCCCUUCCCUUCCCUUCCCUUCCAUUCCCUUCCCUUUUCUUCCCCUCUCAGAAAAACGUAAAAUCAAUUCUCACUCUCCUCUCCCUGAACAAAGAAAGAAAAAGGGAGGUUACAUUAUAUAUCUCCCUCCCCUUCCCUUCUCCCCCUUCCCUUCCCUUCCCUUCCCCUCUCUGAAAACAUAAAAUCAAGUCUGUAUGUACCAUAGAACAACGCGAAGCAAGAUAUUAUUACUACCAUGCCUGACACAAUUAUAUAUAUAUAGAGUAACAUUUCUAGUAUUUUGCUAAUGAUACCUUAGGGAUAAUUGGGCGACAGGUGUGAAGGUGGACUCUUGUUAAUUACCUGUGACUUGGCUUUAGUGAUAUUCCCACAGGUCACAGGUCAUACAGGUAACUUGAAGGUGGUUAUUGUCAAGCUCAUCAGGUGAUUAGACCAGGUAAUACAGGUACAGAAAGGUGAGAACAGGUUAAUUAGACUUCUUACCUGUUUAAUUAGGGAAAAUGUGUGUUUCUAAGGUUAUUUAUACAGGUAAUUAAGGUUAUUGCAAGCUCACCUGAUAAUUAUGCCUUGAUAUACAGGUACAGAAAGGUGAGAACAGGUUAAUUAGACUUCUUACCUGUUUAAUAAGGGAAAAAAAGGUGAUUCUGAGGUGAUUUAUACAGGUACAGGUUAAUUAAUGUCUCCUUCCUGCUAAUGAGAUCCCAAAAUACAGGUGAUACAUGUUAAUUAGGGGAUAUUUACCUGUAUAAUGAGAUCCCAAGAUACAGGUAAAUAUUCUAAGGUAAUUCAUACAGGUAAUAGAGAUUGAUUAACGUCUCCUACCUGUUUAAUGAGGCCCCAAAAUACAGGUAAUUCUAAGGUGAUUCAUACAGGUAAUAAGUUAAUUAAGAUACACCUGUUAAUUAGAGCUCCAGGUUACAGGUGUCUUACAAUAACUACCCGAGCUUACCUUGUUAUUCUGGUAUACAGGUGCAGUAAUUGUGAGGUUACCUGUGAUGGUAGGCAGGUAAGGACAGAGCUUUACCUGUAUGUUUCUGUACUGAUUUGUGCUAAUUGAAGUAGGUUACCUGUGUUAAUGAUCUAAGUCUCUCAUUAACAGGUAGAUAAGAACUAUUUACCCGUAUAAUUAUCCUAGUUUCUCAUUAACAGGUAGAGAUAAGCCUAAUUACCUGUAUAAUGAUCCUUGCACUUAUUAACAGGUGAGGCCAAUAAGCAUAAUUAUCUGCCAAUGAGUUACCUGCUAAUUGAGACAGGUAACAUAGCAGAAUUAAUUUACCUGGAUAAUCAGUUUACCUUUUUAGAGACAGAUAGGUGAUGUAUUAAUUAGUUAACCUGUGAAUUACCUGGUCGAAUUUUACCUGGUCAAUUUACCUUUUUGAGACAGGUGAGAAUAAUUGGUUUACCUGAGGGCUACCUGGUCCAGUUUACCUUUUGAGACAUACAGGUGAUAUGUCUUAAUUGGUUUACCUGGUCGAAGUUUACCUGUUCAGAUUACGAUUUCAGAAAGGUAAAAUGUUAAUUGAUUUACCUGUGAUUUACCUUGUCGAAUUUCAUAGUUACAGUUUACCUUUUCCGACACAAGUGACAUUUUAAUUAGUUUACCUGUGUUAAUAUGUCCAGUUUACCUGUCGCGAUACACAGAUGACAUAUUACACAGUUUACCUGCUAAUGACCUCACCCUAGUUUACACGUUCAUAAACACAAGUCCAGUUUACCUUUCUACACAGGUGACAUCAAUUAGUUCACCUGUCAGUCAUCUCAGUUCACCUUUUGAGAGACAAGUGACAUAUUGAGUGAGUGGUUACCUGGUCCAAGUUUCCAGGUUCAUGAAUUCACCUGUGAGUUACCUGGUCCAAGUCUACAGGUUAAUUAGCAAGAGUUCACCUGCAUAUACCCGUGUCCGUAGAGCCUGGAGUGAGUGCUUGUAGAAUGUAGAGUGCGUGAGUCGAGAUUACGUUGAGUUUACUUGUAGAUUAAAACGGAGUGUAAGGAGUGUAGUUGAUAAGGGAGAUUGUGUUUGUUUGUUUGUAUUGAAGUGAAGCAAUAACUCAAAGCAACGAUAGAGCAAUACUUAUAAUAUGCAUACAUACACACAUACAUAUAUAUUCAUACGAUGGACUGAAGCUUGUCAGAUCCAUCCAUGCAUACAUACAUACACACAUACAUACACAUCGAAGGAGCAAUAAUUUUAAGUCAUACCUACAUACAUACAUACAUACAUAUACACAUACAUACACACAUACAUAAGAAUAGGCAAUAAUUUAAAGAGAAAAGAAAGCAAUAAGCGAUUUCUUCCAAACACACACACACACACACACACACACACACACACACACACACACACACACACACACACACA
This is a long non-coding RNA of Eriocheir sinensis (Chinese mitten crab), 2692 nucleotides long. RefSeq lists it as uncharacterized. The record is from RefSeq and is a predicted model, not a curated record. The transcript is spliced from 2 exons. Lineage: Eukaryota; Metazoa; Arthropoda; Malacostraca; Decapoda; Varunidae.